UACGGAGGGGGCUAGCGUUGUUCGGAAUUACUGGGCGUAAAGCGCGCGUAGGCGGAUCUGCAAGUCGGGGGUGAAAUCCCGAGGCUCAACCUCGGAACUGCCUUGGAUACUGCGGGUCUCGAGUCCGGGAGAGGUGAGUGGAAUUCCUAGUGUAGAGGUGAAAUUCGUAGAUAUUAGGAAGAACACCAGUGGCGAAGGCGGCUCACUGGCCCGGUACUGACGCUGAGGCGCGAAAGCGUGGGGAGCAAACAGG
RNAcentral lists this ribosomal RNA (253 nucleotides) under uncultured bacterium. RNAcentral's name for it is "partial 16S ribosomal RNA". It matches the Rfam family "Bacterial small subunit ribosomal RNA", at positions 524 to 776 of the family's 1533-position model. The record is from RNAcentral.